UGCGAAUGAUGCAACAGAUGCGCGGGC
Molecule: non-coding RNA, 27 nt
Filed under: Bombyx mori (domestic silkworm)
Lineage: Eukaryota; Metazoa; Arthropoda; Insecta; Lepidoptera; Bombycidae
Source: RNAcentral